AACACUGAUCUACCAUUAUUAAGAGUUGCAGUGUGAUUUCUAGAUAUAUACCAGAUAUGUGAAAUGCGGGGAUAUAACUUUGUUUACAUUUCUAAUGUAAACACGAAGCAACAUCUGAACUCAGAACAGAAAGGUAUGGUCUCCUAGCCUAGUAGACCACCACAGUUCCUUCUGGGUAGAAUUCAACCUUUGAUUAUGGAAAAUCACAACAAAAUAACUGAAGGACAAACCACAUCAAAAAUGUGAUUUUCAUCCAACUUCUGGUCCUUACCCCAACCCUGCUUUAUCCUUAUACCUUGCACCGUCUUUUCUGUUCAUGAGUGAGUCCAAUCCGUUUUCUGUUAAGUUCUAUUUUUGCAACCACCGAUUCAAACCAAACCAAGUUCACGUGGAUGAGGAGAAAGUCAGCUGAUUUAUGAUCCAAACAUAUACAAUACUGCCAACUUUACGGAGUUCAUAAAUUCAAAUUAAACUGUGAUUAAACAAAAGUUUUCGUUAAGAGGACCAAUCUAUCUUCCUUCAUUGCCUCCGCCUCCAUCCAUCAAUCACACUUAAACCAUAUUUUACAACCAAGAUGGUGAAAGGGUGUUGCUAAGUAUAAAAUAUGGAACGUCUAGCCGAGGAGGAUGAGGAGGAUGGAGUUCGACAUCGUCUUCAUCGUAUCCAGAGUGACAGAGGAAACAAUGAUGAUGCUAGACCAUAUAAGGUAAU
This is a long non-coding RNA of Eurytemora carolleeae, 711 nucleotides long. RefSeq lists it as uncharacterized. The record is from RefSeq and is a predicted model, not a curated record. The transcript has 4 exons. Lineage: Eukaryota; Metazoa; Arthropoda; Copepoda; Calanoida; Temoridae.